AAGGAAAAAGUUAUCGAGGAGUAAUCGCGAAAUUCGGGUUUGUAUUACUAUAAUUCAAGUUAUUCAUUAUUAAAUAUUAAUUUUAAUUUAUUUAAUUUAUGGUAAGCAAAUAUUGAGGUAAGAAACUUUAUUGAAUUGAAUUUAGAAAUUUGAAUUGAAUGAGAAAUAUGUGUUAGUAUUUAAUUAAAUUUUGAUUAGUGAAUGAAAAAGUGAAUUUGAUAUUAAAAGUAAAUUUUGAAAUGAAAGUGAGUUUGAAUUGAGAAUUGGAAACCCUAUUAACUAGUCGGACUGAGUCGGAUAUAAUUGGCAUGCCAUAGGAUUGGAAGAGUUCAGGGAUACUUCGACCUCGAGUCGAUGAGACACUGGGUGUCACUAUUUUACUUCGGAUAGAUUCAAUGAGAUAUUGGGUAUCACUUUACUUCGGCUAGGCCGAUGAGACACUGGGUGUCAACUUUGCUUCGAACUAUCCGAUGAGGUACUGGGUGCCAAUCUGGUGUGUUUGGUUGGAUCCGUAUAUCCGCCAAAGUCCGAGUUUGUUAAUAGGGGUAAUUAAUUGAAAAGAACUGUGAUUGUGGAAUAUAAUUUGAAAAUGUGAAUAGAAAGCAUUAACUAAAUGUUCAUGAGAUAAAUAAUGGCUCAAUGUGAUAGUAUAUGAUAUUAACUAAUGAAAGCCAAAUUGAAUUGUAGAUAUUGAGAAAUGAAAGUUAAAUAUGAAUUAGUUUGGUAAAUUUUUUUUUAAAGUUAAAUGAUUUAAUUUACUUGGUUAUUAUAUUACAAUUUAAAUUAUAGUAAUACUACUGAGUAUGAAAAACUCAGUCCGCGGUUGUUCCUGUGCGUAGGUUAGUAGAAAUUAAGGUUUCGGCUCAGCAUCCAGGGCGAUCCCGACUCCAGUAUAAAAUUUGGUGAUGUAAUCUUUCUUUUGGUAAAGUGGCAUGUACUUAAGUGUUAUAUUGGUCACUUGAAAGUGUCUUAUGUUUUUGGUUGAAAAUGAUACUAAAAUGAUAUUUUGAUACUUGGUGUAAUAAAAUGGAAAUAAAAUUAUCAUG
RNAcentral lists this long non-coding RNA (1046 nucleotides) under Gossypium barbadense (sea-island cotton). Its description in RNAcentral is "long non-coding RNA (GBAR_LNC018908)". The record is from RNAcentral. Lineage: Eukaryota; Viridiplantae; Streptophyta; Magnoliopsida; Malvales; Malvaceae.